Molecule: long non-coding RNA, 614 nt
Organism: Helianthus annuus (common sunflower)
Lineage: Eukaryota; Viridiplantae; Streptophyta; Magnoliopsida; Asterales; Asteraceae
Exons: 2
Source: RefSeq, a predicted model, not a curated record
GGCCUGAACCAAUUUGAUACUUAUUUAAAGCUGCCUGUUUUAACCCUAUCCAGUUUUAGUUAGAACCUGUUUUGACCCAAAUCCAGUUUGACUUGCAUCCGUUUUGAUUCGUUACCCAUCACAACCCACCCCACCUUUUUUCAGGCUUUAUUCAGACUAUUGUCGGUGCAUUCAAAGUUAUGAUGGAAAGAUUAUAUAUAUAUGUGUGUAUUUUGUUUAAUAUGUAAUCUUUUUUUUGUUUGUGAUGUUGCAGAGGAAGAAAACGUUGCUGAAAGAUUACGAGAGGAGUGGCAAGUCAUUAGUGUUUGUCGAUAAACGAAUUGGUGAGCAGAAUGAGGAUCUCGGUGAGUUUGAUAAGGCCAUUCUCCGAUCUCAAUGAGAAUUGCGGGUUAAACAUAGUAAGAAAAGCAGGUAUAAUCUAUCCGACGGCGAAGAAGACGAGUAUGAGGAUCAAGAGGGCGGUUUGUACGCUGAACGAGACGAUUUUUGUUGGAUCGUCCGGUGACCCUAAACAGACAGUAUGAGUAGUUCAUCAUCAUUUACAAAGGCGGAAUCAAUGCAGACAAUGUCAAACAGCUUGUUCCUUUUCAAUUCUUUUCUAUUACUGAUUUCCU